AUAAAAGGAGAGCAAGGUGUAGCUCAUAAGCAUGGAGAAGUAGAGAAGAACAAGGAAGAGAGAAAAAUAGCAAGAAGCCAUUUGGCAUAGAGAAGAAUUUUCUCAAAUUGUCUUGUUUUGUAUUUUUGGUUUUCUCUUCCUAUUGUAAGUGUGAGAGCUUGGGGUUAUUUGGGUCUUUGGGAAAUUGAGUGAUAAACACUAUUGUAUGUUCUCAUUGAUUAUAGUGGAAUACUCCGUCGUCUCCAAACUGGAUGUAGGCAUUGCCGAACCAGUAUAAAUCUUGGUGUUCUUGUUGGUGUUGGUUUUAUUCUGUUCUGUUUUACUAUUCACUUACAGUCGUACGCCGCUUCCGCACAACAAGUGGUAUCAGAGCCCAGUUCCGUGAAUAGUGUUGGCGCUACAGUUCAGUGAACAGUGAACUGUUACAGUAUCUGUGAACAGUAUUGUACCUGUGAACAGUGCCGUAUUUGUGAAUAGUGCCGAGUAGAUGGCUGGAGAUAAAGAUGAAUCUGUAAGGAAGGAGUCAGCAUCGUCUUCGUCUACAUCCAAUAGACAUCCAACCACUACUACAAGGUUAGAGGUUGAUAAAUUCAAUGGCUCUAAUAAUUUUGGUAUGUGGCAAUGUGAAGUUAUGGAUGUGUUGUAUCAACAAGAGUUAGAUAUGGUUCUGGAAGAUAAACCAGAAGAUAUUGAUGACAAGCAGUGGACGCGAAUUAAUCUUCAUGCUUGUGCUGCUAUUCGAUCAUUCCUUGAUAAGGAGUUGAAAUACCCGUAUAUGAAGGAAACUUCUGCUAAGGAGUUAUGGACGAAAUUGGAGGAGAAGUAUAUGACCAAGAGCGCAGAAAAUCGUCUCUUCUUGAAGAAGCGACUCUUCCGAUUUCAGUAUCGUCCAGGUAUCUCUAUGCACGAACACCUCAAUGAUUAUAAUAAAAUACUUGCUGAUUUAGCAAACCUUGAUGUGAAAAUUCCUGACGAGGACAAGGCACUAUGUUUGUUAAAUUCAUUGCCUGAUGAUUAUGAUCAUUUGACAACUACUCUGUUGUAUGGAAAAUCCGAGGUGAAACUUGAUGAGGUGUCUGCGGCAUUGGUGAAUCAUGAGUGUCGUAAGAAGGAACUGAAGACUCACAAUUCACAAACCGAGGCAUUUGUUGCAAGGGGUCGAACAGAGGAAAGAAAAUCUGGGAAGCGGGGAAAAUCUCUCGUUCAAAGUCACGAGGGAAGUUUCCUGCUAAAGAUGAAUGUGUUUUUUGUCGCCAAAAGGGUCAUUGGAAGAAAGACUGUCCCAAAUUGAAGAACAAAGAGAAGGAGAAAGCAGGUUCUGAAGCAAAUAUUGCAAAAUCUGGAAAUGAUGAUGAUUUCGAGUUUGCUUUGGCUAGUUCAUAUGCUGAUGGUCACUCAAAUGAGUGGAUUUUGGAUUCAGGUUGCACCUAUCAUAUGUGUCCCAUUCGGGAAUGGUUUUCUAAUUUCAAGGAGCUGGAUGGUGGAGUUGUUUUGAUGGGUAAUGAUAAUGCCUGCAAAACACAAGGGAUAGGCAAAAUCUGUUUGAAGAUGCAUGAUGGAACAGUCAGAGAAUUAAGUGAUGUUCGGUAUGUACCGGAUAUGAAGAAAAAUCUCAUCUCACUGGGUGCAUUGGAAUCUAAGGGUCUCAAGAUCACCAUGGAGGGUGAAGUUCUUAAAGCUGUGUAUGGGGCACUGGUGGUGAUGAAAGGUAUAAGACGAAAUAACUUGUAUUUCUUGCAGGGGAGUACAAUUAUUGGUGGAGCAGCUGUCACCGAAGCUGCUGACGCAGAUAGCACAGACACCACGAGGUUAUGGCAUAUGCGUCUUGGGCAUGCUGGUGAAAAAGCGUUGCAAGGAUUGGUGAAGCAAGGCUUAUUGAAAGGUGCAAAGGCAUGCAAAUUGGAAUUCUGUGAGCAUUGUGUGUUGGGUAAGCAAACUAGAGUAAAAUUUGGCACUGCUAUUCACCACACUAAAGGCAUUCUUGAUUAUGUUCACACUGAUGUUUGGGGACCUUCCAAGAAUGCAUCUUGGGGAGGUAGCCAUUAUUUUGUCUCCUUUGUUGAUGACUUCUCUAGAAGAAUAUGGGUGUACACCAUGAAGCGUAAAGAUGAAGUCUUGAAGAUAUUCCUGAAGUGGAAAAAGAUGAUUGAAACGCAAAGCGGUCGAAAGAUCAAGACUCUCAGAUCAGACAAUGGGGGUGAAUAUAAGUCUGAUCCUUUCUUGAAAGUUUGUCAAGAUGAGGGUAUUGUGAGGCACUUCACGGUUAGGGAGACACCGCAACAGAAUGGGGUGGCGGAACGCAUGAACCGUACUUUGCUUGAGAAAGUUCGGUGUAUGUUGUCUAAUGCUGGAUUAGGCAAGGCAUUUUGGGCUGAGGCACUCACUUAUGCAAGCCAUCUCAUUAAUCGAUUGCCAGCUGCUGCGAACGAGGGCAAAACGCCCAUGGAGGUAUGGUCUGGUAAACCUUGUACUGAUUACAAGUUUUUACACAUAUUUGGUUGUCCUGCUUACUAUUAUGUCAGAGAAAGCAAGUUGGAUCCAAGAGCAAAGAAAGCUCUAUUUAUGGGCUUUAGCACUGGCGUGAAGGGAUACCGACUCUGGUGUCCAGAUGAGAAGAAAUUUGUUGUAAGCAGAGAUGUGACUUUUGAUGAGGCUGCUAUGGUUAAUCAGAACAAGCAUGAAGGUGAAACUGAAGCGACCAAAACCAUGAGGAGCUCAAAGCAGGUGGAGUUACUGAAGACUCCAGUUGUUCCAGUAAGGUCUGAUGUUUCAAACACUAGUCCUACAGUUAAUUCUGAUGAUGAGGACGAGGAUGAUGAAGAGGAGGCACCUACCCAAGAGCCUCCACAGCAACAAGACUAUAUUGCAACCAGAAGAUCGAGAAGGGAAAUCCGAAAGCCUGCUCGAUUUACUGAUAUUGUGGCAUAUGCACUUCCCGUUAUUGAAGAUGAUAUUCCAUCCGCCUACAAAGAAGCUGUCAUGAGUUCAGAGUGCGAGUUGUGGAAGAAAUCUAUGGAUGAGGAGAUGAAAUCUCUUCAUAAAAAAUAAGACUUGGAAGCUGGUUCAGUUACCAAAGGGGAAGAAAGCAAUUGGUUGUAAAUGGGUGUAUGCCAAAAAGAUGGAAUCUUUGGGAAAAGACAAUGUAAGAUUCAAAGCCAGAUUGGUAGCUAAAGGCUAUGCUCAGAAAGAAGGCAUUGACUACAAUGAGGUAUUUUCUCCUGUAGUAAAACAUUCUUCUAUUCGUAUUUUGUUGGCUUUGGUUGUGCAGUUUGACCUUGAGUUAGCCCAACUUGAUGUCAAGACUGCGUUCUUACAUGGUGAUUUGGAGGAAGAGAUUUAUAUGUCUCAACCAGAAGGUUUUAAGGUUGCUGGGAAAAGCAUUGUAAGUAGAUAUAUGCAUAAUCCAGGAAAAGGACAUUGGCAAGCUGUGAAAUGGAUUCUACGGUAUAUUCUGGGUACUGUGGAUGUUGGUUUAUUGUUCCAGCAGGAUAAAGUUACUGGUAAAUGUGUUGUUGGAUAUGUGGAUUCUGAUUACGCAGGUGAUUUGGACAAGCGUAGGUCCACUACUGGUUUUGUAUUCUCUAUUGCUGGAGGUCCAGUAAGUUGGAGGUCGAUUCUGCAAUCUACAGUUGCUUUGUCGACUACUGAGGCAGAAUACAUGGCUGUGACAGAAGCUAUAAAGGAAGCCAUCUGGCUUCAAGGGUUGCUUGAUGACUUAGGGGUUCAACAAGACCAUGUGGAUGUUUAUUGCGACAGUCAGAGUGCUAUUCAUUUAGCAAAGAAUCAAGUUCAUCAUGCACGUACGAAACACAUUGACGUGAGGUUCCAUUUUGUUCGUGAGAUUAUUGACGAGGGAGAUAUUCUUCUUCAGAAGAUGGGGACCGCUGACAAUCCUGCGGAUAUGUUAACGAAGCCAGUUUCGUUGCACAAGUUUAAGCACUGCUUAGACUUGAUUGGCGUUUGUAAAAUUUGUUGAUUGCCCCAUGGGGGAUUGGGAGAUGACUAUUUGGAGUUCUACUUAGAGGGUUUGAGUCAAGGUGGAGAUUGUUGAUUAUUGACUCAAACAUGUAGUCAAAGUCCAAAUCUUUGGGCUACUUUUGUGGUCAAAAUUGUUGGAUGGCAUGCUACAUGUGGGAAACCAAAAUUGGAUGCACUUAUGCCUAAUUCUUUUUGACUUGAUGUUAGGCCUUUGGCCAUUGAUGUCUUUGAGAAGCUUUUCUUUAGCUAUAAAAGGAGAGCAAGGUGUAGCUCAUAAGCAUGGAGAAGUAGAGAAGAACAAGGAAGAGAGAAAAAUAGCAAGAAGCCAUUUGGCAUAGAGAAGAAUUUUCUCAAAUUGUCUUGUUUUGUAUUUUUGGUUUUCUCUUCCUAUUGUAAGUGUGAGAGCUUGGGGUUAUUUGGGUCUUUGGGAAAUUGAGUGAUAAACACUAUUGUAUGUUCUCAUUGAUUAUAGUGGAAUACUCCGUCGUCUCCAAACUGGAUGUAGGCAUUGCCGAACCAGUAUAAAUCUUGGUGUUCUUGUUGGUGUUGGUUUUAUUCUGUUCUGUUUUACUAUUCACUUACAGUCGUACGCCGCUUCCGCACAACAAACCACGCAAUCAUAACCCGGAUAUUGAAGCGUGGUUUUGCCUGUCAGCCUUUCUAAGAGGAGCACACCAAAGCUAUAGACAUCAAUUUGUGAGUGAUUUUCCGCAUGUCAGUUGCCUCUGGAGCGCGAUAUCCCAUGGCCCGGGACAUGGCUGGAGGGAAGUUCAUUAGAGGACACAACCCUGCGUCCGAGAUGCAAGCCUCGAGUUCUUGGGUGAGGAGGACGUUUGUGGACUUUAUAUUGCCAUGGCUAGAUUUUGAACCCUCGGAAUGAAUGUGGGCAAGUCCCUUGGCAAUUCCGAGCGAAAUCUUUACUCUUGAAUCCCAGUCUGGUGGAGACCUCCCAGCAUCACUGCUUCCUACAAAUCCAUCGGAACAACAACAACAACAACAAAGCUUUAUCCAUCGAAACAAUGAAAAUAAAUUAAAGUAACUAUAAUUAGACUUUAGGAUUUAGAUUAGGCAUCAUACCAUGCAAGUGUGCAAACAAGCUUCCUGUUGGCAUGUAGUUGUACACCAAAGGCUUAUCAUCUUUGGAGAAAUAAUAAGCGAGAGGAGGCAGGACAUUCUGGUGCUUCCCUACCCUCUCCACCACCUCCAUAUGCUGCUCAAACUCCCUCUUCCCCACCACAACUUCCCUCAACCGCUUCACCACAACCGUUGUUUCCUCAUCCAAUACAGCUUUGUAAGUUGUUCCGAAACUUCCUUUGACGAGAACUUCCGCUGACGCUCUCAGCAGAUCCUCAAGAUCAAAAUUGUAAUAGCAACCUUCAAAGAAGAACAGCUUGUUCUUCUCAGCCUCUUGCACUCCACUCCCAAAAUCCUUAGGCAUCUCACCCUUUCCAUCACCCGCAGCCUUCCCUUUCAACAUCCCGCCACCUACUUUGUUAGUCCGUUUCCAGCAGCAUAUGACAACAACCAGGACUAGAAGAAUAAACA
Molecule: long non-coding RNA, 5523 nt
Filed under: Malus domestica (apple)
Lineage: Eukaryota; Viridiplantae; Streptophyta; Magnoliopsida; Rosales; Rosaceae
Description: long non-coding RNA (MDOM_LNC001118)
Source: RNAcentral